GGGAGAGUCCCAGAGACAGAGACAUAAAGCCACAGUGGGGAGAGACGGAAAUGAGGUAGGCAAGACAGAAAGAAUGAGAGGGAGGAAGAGGGAAGGGACAGAAGGCAGGAGAGCCUAGAUUCUUCCUCCUAGUCUAAAAGGACCCUCACCUUCGGGGCUGGGCCUGUGGCCAAGUGGUUAAGGUUCCACACUUUCUGCUUGGGAGGCCUGGGUUCACAGGUUCAGAUCCCAGAUGCGGCCCUACUCCACUCAUCAGCCAUGCUGUGGAGGCAUCCCACAUACAAAGUAGAGGAAGAUGGGCACAGAUGUUAGUUCAGGGCUAAUAUUCCUCAAAUGAAAAGAUAAAAAAAAUAAAAGGACCCUAACCUUCCUGCAGGGAGGGUCUCUCCUCCACGAGGUUGGUGGGGGGUGUCUGAAGAAGACUCUCUCAGCCUCGAGUUCUCUGGCAGACAGUGAAAUUGGUGGUUCUCAAAGUGUGUUCCCUGGACCAGCAGCUCAGCAUGACUUGGGAGCUUGUCAGAAGUGCAAAUUCUCCUGCCUCACCCCAGACCUCCUGAAUCAAAGACUGCGGGGUAGGGCCCAGCAUCUGUGUUUUAACAAGCCCUCCAGGUGUUUCUGCUGCACGCUCGAGUUUGAGAACCACACCCUGAAGUUGCAGUGCUUGGCCUCCAGUGCUGUGAACUGCUCUCAGUCCCCGCCACGGGGCUGCUGUCUUCCAAGAGGAGUGACGUGGGUGGUCUUGAGAGCUGGCACCAUCUUCAGAGUCACUCAAAUGAUACCUCUGUAGCCUUCAAUUACCUGUAGGAAUUGGGGGAACAGGAGGAAGUGUCAAGGAACAGCCCAGAGGAAGAAAAAAGACAACCUGGAGAAAAGGAUGCUUAGAAGGGCAAGGCUGCAGCUGGUGCGUGCAGCUCUUAAGUAGCAGGCUCUCAGCUCCUGCCAUGCAGGACGAUGAUGGAAAGGGGGCACUAAUGGGAAAGCAGUCUGACCCCAGCUUCAGGUGAAUUUGAUGGAGGGUCAAUUUGGGGAUAAUUGUGGUGCGCUGUCUGGAUUCUGCUGGGAGAGGGCAGAUGGGGACAGGAGCAGGGAUGGGUAGAGGGUAGAAGGGAGAGGAGUGGGGGGCAGGGAGGGAGAGAGAUGCUGGGGAACAGGGGGCCCAGGCAGAGGCCCCUGCUCCAGGCCUGGAGUUUCCAGAAGACCAUCAUCAUUGUCCAGCCAUCCACAUUGUUCUUCUGGCUUCUGAGGCUGGAGACCAGGGGUGAGGAGCUUGGUGUGGCCCUCAAGGAGAGGCCUGUUCUCAUUUCAGCGGGUGUGGGUAUUAAGUUUGGUCCAUGUGCUGGCAGUGGGCAGGAUGGUCAGUGACCUCAAACUCAAAGUCUUCAGGCUCCGGGCAGAUAACAUAAGAGAGAAGCACAGCCUGGGAGGAAAUGCCAGGGCAGACACUGUCUCCUGGGGAUUGUGUGAACUGGAAAUACAGGCCCUGUCUAGACCGUUCAGCAGCCACCAGACUCCAGCCUGUUAGCACCCAGAAACGUCACUCCCCGCCACCAGGCUGAUCAAAUCCAGAUGGAGGUAUACAGCAGCAGGUCCUGCAAGAGAAGUUACAAGAAGCUCACAUACUGCCUGCGUGCCAGGGGCAGCUCUGUCUGGGCUGGCCGUGGGGAACGGGGCUUCGAAGGGUCCCAGACUCCAUUCUGCAGCGAUGCGGGGCAGCAAAGCAUUUUACAGUGAGGACCACCAUUGUCUGAUCCCUCUAAGAAUGGGUCUUGAAUUUCUGAUGCCAGUUUCUCCCUCAAGGGCCAGGGUAAUGCUGGGCAUCCUGCGUGCAUUCUUUCCAUAAGCCCCCUGCCUUCAGGAAUAUAAAAUGUUUAUCUUUUCUGCUUGACACAGCACAGCUGAGAACCAAAAAGUGAAAUAACCUGUGCUGAGUCAUCAGCCGGGAGGCGGGGGAUUGGAGGCAGGAAAAAUAAAUGUAGCAUCUCCCCCUGGGGGCUCCCGUCAAAGACUGUCGAAGGGAGGGUCCGACAGGUAGGGAGGAGAGGGGGGAGCUUGAGGAGCAGGACUCCCCGUGGUCUGUACUGGUCCAGGAACCCCUUUGGCUGUGGCCUUGAGCAGCAGCUGCAGCUCCUCUCACCUUUCCCUCCUCCAGAUGUCCUCAAACAUCCUAAUAUUUAUUUCUACUUGGGAACAGCAGCAAAUCAACAAAGGCAUGUCAAGGACGCCCUCACCUUCCUCUAUGAGGCUCCGAGCCCUAUUUCUGAUUUUCUAAUUGGAGCGAGUGAAUUCAACUCUGGGGCUGCUUUGAACUCUCGUCUCUGCCAAUUAACCCUCCCGGGGAAGGCUGAAGCGCCUCUUAGAAGUGGCAGGGUGUGGGGAGACGACUGAGAACAAGAUGCUGUCCUUGUCCUUCAGGAAUUUACAAUCUCAAUGAGGAGACAAAACAUAUACACAUGAAAAGUUAAAAAAAAAUGCUGAAGACUAAACUAACAGAUCAAGACACUAAUCAAAGUGAAGUCAUGGUAUGUAAAUCACUCUGACCAUGAGAGAAAAUUCAUAGGUGAGUGAUAUCCUUUGGGCUGGGGUAACUGGGAAGGGCUUUACAGAUUUAUCAGAAAGGAGAGGGAAUAUGAGUUGCAACUUUUGAAAAAUUAAUACAUGGAUAUAUUUUUUUAAAAAAUUAAAACUACAUAAGAAUUAAUGAUGAAAUUUAAGUUUUCCACUCAUGACUCCAGGGUUCUUUGUCCAGAAGCAACCACUGUUAUCAUUU
RNAcentral lists this long non-coding RNA (2767 nucleotides) under Equus asinus (donkey). Its description in RNAcentral is "lncRNA (ENSEASG00005026888.1)". Lineage: Eukaryota; Metazoa; Chordata; Mammalia; Perissodactyla; Equidae. The record is from RNAcentral.